CAGCCGUAAACUAUGCGCGUUAGGUGUAUCGGUGACCACGAGUUACCGAGGUGCCGAAAGGGAAACCGUGAAACGUGCCGCCUGGGAAGUACGGUCGCAAGGCUGAAACUUAAAGGAAUUGGGCGGGGGAGCACCACAACAGGUGGAGCCUGCGGUUUAAUUGGACUCAACGCCGGGAAGCUCACCGGAUAGGACAGCAGAAUGAUUGCCGGGCUGAAGACCCUGCAUGACUAGCUGAGAGGUGGUGCAUGGCGUCAGUGACU
RNAcentral lists this ribosomal RNA (263 nucleotides) under uncultured archaeon. RNAcentral's name for it is "partial 16S ribosomal RNA". It matches the Rfam family "Archaeal small subunit ribosomal RNA", at positions 748 to 1008 of the family's 1478-position model. The record is from RNAcentral.